GAUGAACGCUAGCUACAGGCUUAACACAUGCAAGUCGAGGGGAAACGACAUCGAAAGCUUGCUUUUGAUGGGCGUCGACCGGCGCACGGGUGAGUAACGCGUAUCCAACCUGCCCAUCACUUGGGAAUAACCUUGCGAAAGUAAGACUAAUACCCAAUGAUAUCCCACGAAGGCAUCGGAAUGGGAUUAAAGAUUUAUCGGUGAUGGAUGGGGAUGCGUCGGAUUAGCUUGUUGGCGGGGUAACGGCCCACCAAGGCAACGAUCAGUAGGGGUUCUGAGAGGAAGGUCCCCCACAUUGGAACUGAGACACGGUCCAAACUCCUACGGGAGGCAGCAGUGAGGAAUAUUGGUCAAUGGGCGAGAGCCUGAACCAGCCAAGUAGCGUGCAGGAAGACGGCCCUAUGGGUUGUAAACUGCUUUUAUAAGGGAAUAAAGUGGGUCACGUGUGACUUUUUGCAUGUACCUUAUGAAUAAGGACCGGCUAAUUCCGUG
RNAcentral lists this ribosomal RNA (492 nucleotides) under uncultured bacterium. RNAcentral's name for it is "partial 16S ribosomal RNA". It matches the Rfam family "Bacterial small subunit ribosomal RNA", at positions 28 to 507 of the family's 1533-position model. The record is from RNAcentral.